This 443-nucleotide ribosomal RNA is filed under the name uncultured bacterium. Its description in RNAcentral is "partial 16S ribosomal RNA". It matches the Rfam family "Bacterial small subunit ribosomal RNA", at positions 338 to 795 of the family's 1533-position model. The record is from RNAcentral.
CCUACGGGGGGCAGCAGUGGGGAAUAUUGGACAAUGGGGGGAACCCUGAUCCAGCGACGCCGCGUGAGUGAAGAAGUAUUUCGGUAUGUAAAGCUCUAUCAGCAGGGAAGAAAGAAAUGACGGUACCUGACUAAGAAGCCCCGGCUAACUACGUGCCAGCAGCCGCGGUAAUACGUAGGGGGCAAGCGUUAUCCGGAUUUACUGGGUGUAAAGGGAGCGUAGACGGCGAUGCAAGUCUGAAGUGAAAGGCGGGGGCCCAACCCCCGGACUGCUUUGGAAACUGUAUGGCUUGAGUACUGGAGAGGAUAGUGGAAUUCCUAGUGUAGCGGUGGAAUGCGUAGAUAUUAGGAGGAACAUCAGUGGCGAAGGCGACUAUCUGGACAGCAACUGACACUGAGGCACGAAAGCGUGGGGAGCAAACAGGAUUAGAUACCCGUGUAGUC